GAUAAUAUUAUGUUUCAACAGAAACAUAACAAGCUAAAAGCGGAGAACUACCUCGUGAUGGAUGUGGUAUGUAAUUAGCUAGCGGCUCAUCUUGCCGCUAAGCAUAUUAUAUAAUUUUUUAAAUUUUAAUAUUUUUCUUUGGAAAUUAAUUACCGACUAACCAUGCCCGUUUUUUUCACUUUUUUCUUCUAUCAAAUUAGAAUCGUUGGGUUGAAAUUUUUACCGGAUUGGCUAACAAUGGCGAAGCCAUUGAUAUGUGGUAUCUAACAGUGCCGCUCAACACCAGCGAGGAGGGAUUGAGUUCAAGCCCAUGAAUGUUAGCAUGAGGCUAUCUUCUGGUUGUGCCAUUUGGGACUUCGAGUAAUGGUUGCUGUAAGAUGAUUAAAUACCUAGUCAAUAAGAUUAAU
RNAcentral lists this long non-coding RNA (407 nucleotides) under Linum usitatissimum (flax). RNAcentral describes it as "long non-coding RNA (LUSI_LNC005349)". Lineage: Eukaryota; Viridiplantae; Streptophyta; Magnoliopsida; Malpighiales; Linaceae. The record is from RNAcentral.